UACGGAGGGUGCUAGCGUUGUUCGGAAUUACUGGGCGUAAAGGGCGCGUAGGCGGCCGUUUGCGUCGGAUGUGAAAGCCCGGGGCUCAACUCCGGAAUUGCCUUUAAGACUGCAUCGCUAGAAUUGUGGAGAGGUAAGUGGAAUUCCGAGUGUAGAGGUGAAAUUCGUAGAUAUUCGGAAGAACACCAGUGGCGAAGGCGACUUACUGGACACAUAUUGACGCUGAGGUGCGAAAGCGUGGGGAGCAAACAGG
This 253-nucleotide ribosomal RNA is filed under the name uncultured bacterium. RNAcentral's name for it is "partial 16S ribosomal RNA". It matches the Rfam family "Bacterial small subunit ribosomal RNA", at positions 524 to 776 of the family's 1533-position model. The record is from RNAcentral.